CGGCCCGUAGCUCAGCGGUGAGAGCGCCCGGCUGUAGAACGGGCGGUCCCGGGUUCAGGGGAAACCCGCCCACAAAUCCCGGCGGGCCGA
This 90-nucleotide transfer RNA is filed under the name Thermoproteus sp. CP80. RNAcentral's name for it is "tRNA-Tyr". It matches the Rfam family "tRNA". Rfam says of the family: Transfer RNA (tRNA) molecules are approximately 80 nucleotides in length. Their secondary structure includes four short double-helical elements and three loops (D, anti-codon, and T loops). The record is from RNAcentral. Lineage: Archaea; Thermoproteati; Thermoproteota; Thermoprotei; Thermoproteales; Thermoproteaceae.